CCCGAUGCAGCGGCGGACGGGUGAGUAAUACAUGGGAAUCUGCCUGGUAGUGGGGGACAACAGUUGGAAACGACUGCUAAUACCGCAUACGCCCUACGGGGGAAAGGGGGGGAUCUUCGGACCUCUCGCUAUCAGAUGAGCCCAUGUCAGAUUAGCUUGUUGGUGGGGUAAAGGCUCACCAAGGCGACGAUCUGUAACUGGUCUGAGAGGAUGAUCAGUCACACUGGAACUGAGACACGGUCCAGACUCC
RNAcentral lists this ribosomal RNA (250 nucleotides) under uncultured bacterium. Its description in RNAcentral is "partial 16S ribosomal RNA". It matches the Rfam family "Bacterial small subunit ribosomal RNA", at positions 86 to 339 of the family's 1533-position model. The record is from RNAcentral.